GGAGGCAGGUGGUAAACAGGAAAUGGUUAAGUAGGAGCAGGUGGAGUGGGUGCGGUGCUGGAACAGGCAGGAAAUAGCUGAGCAGCUGAAUGGACUCACAAGAAUGCUUUGCCAACUCCCCAAGGCUGGGGCAAAGGCGCCGGCUGCCCCCUCCUCCCAGCCCUGCACAGCGAGGUGUCUGGCCUGGCAGCGCCUGGCUGGCCCCACUGUCCUCCUCGGUUCUGCCUGGGGCUGAAAGGAGCAGGCCACGGGGCUAGGAGGAGAAUGGUGGUUCCUACAGGGGCGUGAGUGACCGGCUUUGAGGGUGCAGGUUAUGAGGGGCUACAGGAGGUGGACAAGAUUGCCAAGGACCUGGAGUGCUUUUCCUCUUCUGGUUCUUUGUUCCCCAGAGGGCCCUUUGGAUUGACUGGGACCCCCCAGGAGCGGUCGGUCCCACCCUCGGUCGAGCAUGCUGCCAGCUGGCUACUGGAUGUGGGCAGGAGCUGAACACCCCAGGCUUUUUUCAGCCUCCCAUUUGUUCCUUGUAAUACAGGUGCCUCUAAGUGUGUGUGGGGGGGGCUCUCAGGAGAGACAGGAAGCCGAAGUGCAGGAAAAUGAGAAGGGCUGGGGCGUGAGCGCCUUUGAGCCUCCACACCCUCCCCUGUCCUCCCUCGGUUCCACUAUGGCUCUCACCUUUAGAUUCCUCUUGGCUUGAAGGGCUGCCCCUUGCUCUAGUAUAAAACCAGGUGCUCUUGGUCCUCAUUUGUCCCCUUCUCAGGAAAGCUUAGCUCGGGGCUGACAGCUUUGCUUCCCAGGGCAGGCGCACCUCACGCUGGCCCGUGGGUUUCCUCGCUGCGGAGCAGAAGUCUGGCCGCUCUAGCCUUGAAGUGUUGCUGACAUAUCUCUGUCUAUGAACCCCCAGCAGCCAGGCAUGAACUCCCAGCUCAGCAGCUUUACCGUGGGGGCUGUAGCCUCAUGGUUGCAUCUAGCUCCUCAGAUGGACCUGACCCUUGCUGGAGAGGGGUUGACAAGUUGUGGGAAGAAGCUGUGCUCCCAGGUUUUCUCAGGAGCAGGAGACAGCAAAGGGGUCUCACACACAAACUCUUAAUAGCAACCCCAUUUUAUUGGUUAUUUAUUUUACUCCCAUAUAGUAUGUAUUUCAGUAAGUGCAUGCAUGCAUUUAUAUAUACAUGUUUUGAAUCAUUUAAUCCCCAGUACAACCCAAAGAAGAGGUACUUUCCCACUUCAUGGACAAGAAGCUGAGGCCCAGAGAAGGGAGAUACGCUGUCCUCGUGGUAGUGAUGUAGUGGGUUCCCUUCUCUGCACUCAAGCCUGGGCAGCUUGGCCUGGAGUCUGCACUCUGACCCGGUACUGUGCUACCUGGGUGAGGAGACUUUGGAGGAGGCCAGAGGGGACCGUGUGGACAAAGGCUGGGAGGCUUGGGACGGUCAGUUUGUAAGUGGGUGGACAUCCCAUCACACCAUUGUCAAUGCCGUUUAUGAAGUAGUGAGGGUGGCACCAGCAACAUGGAAACGCACAGGAGGGACAGACCCCUAAUGGUUCCAGAGAGCUACUUGGUUAAAGAGCAGUUUCUUGAGGGCUUUGGUGAUCACUGCACAGGUAGGUGGCACCUCACUGAAGCUAUCUGUUCUGAAUGGACAGUUUCACUGUGAUCCUCAGGCCCUUUUGGUCACUGCUUGCCUUGGUAAUGUCAUUAUUAGCAACCUCAUUUGAAGACAAACCCAGGGCUGUCCUGGGGCCCAGGGCAGGUGCAGCGCCAGCUUCCUUACUGGUGCGUCUCAGGACUACAGCUUUGAUCUUGUAGGGUUCAAACUUGGGUGGCGUGGCAGGGGCGAUAGAUUCCUUGCUGUGACAUUCACCAUCUUGCUCUCUGCCCUUCCAGACUCCUCUCUCAACACCUAAGCCCACAUUCCUAGCCACUGGACACAUGGACCUGCCUAACAUGACUGCCUCCAAGCUUUUGUACCUGCUGUGCCCUCUGUCUCUGCUAAGCUCCAUGUAUCUUUCAAGCUGAGACUCCCCUGCCUACAGUCUGGAUCCUCAUGGAAAGAGCUGAGCCAUGAUUAUGCAUAUUCCCAGCCUGGCACUGUAACAACUGCAGGCCCUGUAUCUAAUCCCCUAACACUCAGGCAGCACUCAAAGGUCCUGAGUGCCUGAAGGUAAGAAUGAGUAAAUGAAUGAAUGAGCCAGAGGCAAGGUGAGAAAAGGAAACAGACGCAUCCCUUAUGAGGAAAUUGCCUUGUGAUGCCUCUCAUAACCUUAUUCAGGCUGCCCUCUCCAGAGGUCAAUUUUUGGGCGCUGCUUCUCCUCUUCUCACCCCUCAGUGAUAGGCCAAAGAUGCUGGGUAUUUGCCCCGCCUCUUCCAAGUAUUGCUCGUAGGCAGCUUGCUGGUGGUCCCCAGGCAGCCCAAUGCAGGACUUGUCAGUAGGCAGGCACUUAAUGCCCCAGAAGCCUAGGAAUUCUGUCCAUGUUAAACCAGGGGAAGAACCGCACAGUCUGCAGGGAGAUCAAAGGGUUCCAGGCUCUGGGGAAUGAGGAGGUAUCAUGGUGACA
This is a long non-coding RNA of Heterocephalus glaber (naked mole-rat), 2553 nucleotides long. NCBI's taxonomy places the organism in Eukaryota, Metazoa, Chordata, Mammalia, Rodentia, Bathyergidae. The record is from Ensembl.